Molecule: ribosomal RNA, 1534 nt
Filed under: Streptococcus pneumoniae GA11426
Lineage: Bacteria; Bacillati; Bacillota; Bacilli; Lactobacillales; Streptococcaceae
Description: bacterial SSU rRNA
Rfam family: Bacterial small subunit ribosomal RNA
Source: RNAcentral
AGAGUUUGAUCCUGGCUCAGGACGAACGCUGGCGGCGUGCCUAAUACAUGCAAGUAGAACGCUGAAGGAGGAGCUUGCUUCUCUGGAUGAGUUGCGAACGGGUGAGUAACGCGUAGGUAACCUGCCUGGUAGCGGGGGAUAACUAUUGGAAACGAUAGCUAAUACCGCAUAAGAGUGGAUGUUGCAUGACAUUUGCUUAAAAGGUGCACUUGCAUCACUACCAGAUGGACCUGCGUUGUAUUAGCUAGUUGGUGGGGUAACGGCUCACCAAGGCGACGAUACAUAGCCGACCUGAGAGGGUGAUCGGCCACACUGGGACUGAGACACGGCCCAGACUCCUACGGGAGGCAGCAGUAGGGAAUCUUCGGCAAUGGACGGAAGUCUGACCGAGCAACGCCGCGUGAGUGAAGAAGGUUUUCGGAUCGUAAAGCUCUGUUGUAAGAGAAGAACGAGUGUGAGAGUGGAAAGUUCACACUGUGACGGUAUCUUACCAGAAAGGGACGGCUAACUACGUGCCAGCAGCCGCGGUAAUACGUAGGUCCCGAGCGUUGUCCGGAUUUAUUGGGCGUAAAGCGAGCGCAGGCGGUUAGAUAAGUCUGAAGUUAAAGGCUGUGGCUUAACCAUAGUAGGCUUUGGAAACUGUUUAACUUGAGUGCAAGAGGGGAGAGUGGAAUUCCAUGUGUAGCGGUGAAAUGCGUAGAUAUAUGGAGGAACACCGGUGGCGAAAGCGGCUCUCUGGCUUGUAACUGACGCUGAGGCUCGAAAGCGUGGGGAGCAAACAGGAUUAGAUACCCUGGUAGUCCACGCUGUAAACGAUGAGUGCUAGGUGUUAGACCCUUUCCGGGGUUUAGUGCCGUAGCUAACGCAUUAAGCACUCCGCCUGGGGAGUACGACCGCAAGGUUGAAACUCAAAGGAAUUGACGGGGGCCCGCACAAGCGGUGGAGCGUGUGGUUUAAUUCGAAGCAACGCGAAGAACCUUACCAGGUCUUGACAUCCCUCUGACCGCUCUAGAGAUAGAGCUUUCCUUCGGGACAGAGGUGACAGGUGGUGCAUGGUUGUCGUCAGCUCGUGUCGUGAGAUGUUGGGUUAAGUCCCGCAACGAGCGCAACCCCUAUUGUUAGUUGCCAUCAUUUAGUUGGGCACUCUAGCGAGACUGUCGGUAAUAAACCGGAGGAAGGUGGGGAUGACGUCAAAUCAUCAUGCCCCUUAUGACCUGGGCUACACACGUGCUACAAUGGCUGGUACAACGAGUCGCAAGCCGGUGACGGCAAGCUAAUCUCUUAAAGCCAGUCUCAGUUCGGAUUGUAGGCUGCAACUCGCCUACAUGAAGUCGGAAUCGCUAGUAAUCGCGGAUCAGCACGCCGCGGUGAAUACGUUCCCGGGCCUUGUACACACCGCCCGUCACACCACGAGAGUUUGUAACACCCGAAGUCGGUGAGGUAACCGUAAGGAGCCAGCCGCCUAAGGUGGGAUAGAUGAUUGGGGUGAAGUCGUAACAAGGUAGCCGUAUCGGAAGGUGCGGCUGGAUCACCU